Molecule: long non-coding RNA, 5134 nt
Filed under: Callithrix jacchus (white-tufted-ear marmoset)
Lineage: Eukaryota; Metazoa; Chordata; Mammalia; Primates; Cebidae
Description: lncRNA (ENSCJAG00000087192.1)
Source: RNAcentral
GCCGCCGCCACCGCCGCCGCCGCCGCCGCCCGCCGCCACGGUCCCGGAGCCUCCCGGGCGCGCGGCUCCGCACGCGGCCCGCGAGCAGGGGGGCGUGGCGCGCGGACACGGCGGGGCGGCGCGCGCCCGGGAAGCCCCGGGGGCGGGGCCUGGCGAGGGCGGGGCCCGCUUGGCGACUGCACCCGGGACUCCCUCACGCCGCCCGCGGCCGCGCUACCAAGGAGCCGAGCGCUGGGCCCCGCCCCUUCCGAGCCCGCUCCCAGCGAGAGACGCAGAUCGGAUGAAUCUCCCGGCGGAGAGCUAUCGGCUUUUCCGGAAUGGAGGACUCGGCUCGUGACGGAACAAAGCCCGAAGAAGCAGGGAGCCUUAGACCCCGCUCGCCUGGCCGCCGACGUCCCCGGUCUGCGGUGGCCCGAGCCCCUGCCUGGUUGGAGGGCACUCCCCUGCCGCGGGGGACUUCGGGUCUCCACCCCUCUCCCGAGGCGCCCGCCCAGGCGGGACCUGCCCCAACUCUUGGCGGGCGGGAUUCUCCUGGCGUGGCCUAGUGCUUGUCAGGUUCCACCUCCUAAGGCCAUCACUCAGGGGAUCAGAUUUCAACGCAUGAAUUUUUUGGGGAACAAAAACCUUCAAUCCGUAACAGAGAAGAAGAAAAUAAAUUGUCCCAAUGUAUUAAUGGUGUGCUGGAGCCAGCUUGUGGCAGCGAAUUAUGUGAAUCUUUCCCAACUCUACAUUCAGUGACUUCACAUUGGUAACUUGGAAUGAGCCAUUGUACAGGUAAUUAACACCAGAAAAUUUGGCAAAUGCUACAAAUCAGUGCUUUUCAGAGAGCUGGUUGUUAAACAUUUACCAGCACACACUUGCUUGCUGCCUUUAUAUUAAUCGCUCAUCUCAGUUCUUGGUUUGUGCAUAUUAGAAUUAAUUAUAUGAUGUUCUAAAUUUUAUAUCAAUUGAUCUUAUCCACUCAGACAAUAUAGCAUAGGAGUUAGCAAAUACUGUAAUCCCUUAGAUCCAAGACGCUAUGAAACAGAAUUGGGUUUUAAAAGGCUCUAAGAGGCCAGGCGCGGUGGCUCACACCUGUAAUCCCAGCACUUUGGGAGGCCGAGGCGGGUGGAUGACGAGGUCAAGAGAUGGAGACCAUCCUGUUCAACAGACCAUCCUGGUCAACAUGGUGAAACCCCGUCUCUACUAAAAAUACAAAAAAUUAGCUGGGCAUGGUGGUGCGUGCCUGUAAUCCCAGCUACUCAGGAGGCUGAGGCAGGAGAAUUGCUUGAACCCAGGAGGCGGAGGUUGCAGUGAGCCGAGAUUGCGCCAUUGCACUCCAGCCUGGGUAACAAGAGCGAAACUCCGUCUCAAAAAUAAAAUAAAAUAAAAUAAAGAAAUAAAAGGCUCUAAGAAUUAGAGGCAAUGAAGGUGCCAAAUCCACCAGCAGGGGGAGCCCAAUUUCCGAACAUAGGCAUUUUGCCUUCUCUUAGGAAUACAGCAGCAUUUUCAAAAUGAAAAAUAGAGGAUAACAUUUGUCAGAAACCCACACAUUAGAAAUAAAUACACACUAUACUUUAAUAAAGUUAUACUGGUAAACCAAAUCUUACCUGAUUCUGCAUUGACCAUACUAGAAAUAAGGAAACACCCUGUUUUUAAAAAAAGUCUGGUAGACAAAAAUCUCAGAAAUCACCACUAAAGAACUUAUUCACGUGACCAAACAUCCCCUGUUCCCCCAUAUCUGUUGAAAUAAAAUAAAAAUAAAUUAAAAAUCAAUAAAUAAAUCAGGAUGUGUUCCAUUGGGGCAAAUAAGAAAAAAAAAUCUAGUAGAAACAUAAAAUGAAGAACUCAGAACUUUGAAAGAUCAUGCCACUGUUUCUGAAAAGAAAAUCAAAAGUACUAUGCAUUUUGUAUUAUUGAGGCCUUUUAAAAAUAUAUAAGCUAUGCAAUUUUCAUAAAGCUGAUUCAACAUUCAGGAUUCUUAAAAUUUCCCCCCCCCGAAUAAUAUAUAAAUGAAAUGGAACUGUAAUCUAAAAAUCAACUGGAAUUUUUGAAAACUUGAAAAGAUUACUCUAAAUUUUAUCUGAAAGAGUAAAGGAGCAGGAAGGCAUUUAAAAUACUGAAAUAAAUAAAUAAAUAAAAUAAAAUAAAAUACUGAAAAAUGGGAGUAACUUCUACAAGAAGAAACUUGAGCUUUCAUAUUUUGCAUCACAUUGCAUACCAUAAUAAUUAACACAAUGACAUGUGCUAAAAUGUAAAAUCAAAUAAAUUGAAUAGAUUAUAGAUUAUUGAAUAUAAGAUCAAAUAAAUUGGUUAUACAGACCGUGAGUAUUUAGAAUUUGAUUAACACGACAUAUCAAAUUGGUGAAAUAAUUGUGAAUUAGUAAAUGGCGCUCUGAUAAUUACUUGUGGAGAAAAAGUUACAUACUUCUCACCAUGCUCUAAAAUAAAGUCCAGAUGGGCUGAAGAUUUAAAUAUAAUAUUGAUAUUUAUAUAUGUGAAAUAUAUUAAAUGCAAUAUAUUUUAUAUGUGCAUGUGUGUAGUCUUCAGUUUUUUGUUUUAUGCAUAGAAAUAUACAUUUAUUUACAAAAACAAAUACACAUUUCAUGCAAAGGGAUUAUAUGUGAUCAGUUUCAUUUGCAUAAUUAACCCAUCCCUAUGCAUCCACCAUCCUGUUUCAACGUGGACAAUCCUGUUUCAUCGACCCACACUCCCUUGAAUUAUUUUUAUUAUUUUGAUUCAAAUAUGAGAUUUCAAAUCAUUUCAUUCAUAAGUAUUCCCGUAUGUACAUACAAAGGAUAAGGACAAUAUUAUCAGUGCACUUUAAACGUUCAUUGCAAUUGCCUAAUGUCAUUAAACUCCAGGCAGCAUUUCAAUUCUCCCAAUUAUAUUAUAAAGGUUUUGUUACUAUAUAUAUGAAGCAAACUCAAUUAAGUUCAAGGAUAUAGUCUCUUUUGCUUGCUCUUAUGUGUUCAUGCUCAUACAAAUCACAGCAACCCAUGGGCACCAUGUACUGUGUGUGAUUGGCCACACUUGGGUCGUAUACCCACUCCCAUCAUCAUCAGAUGGAGCAGAUGUUUGUUACAGGAGAAAUGGAGCGCUGUGUAAACACAAGCAAUAGCCAACAUAAACAACACAUCCAACCCUACAUCAUUACAUAGUGUUGCAUUUUCCUUCUUUUUUUUUUUUUUUUUGAGACCGCUCUGUUGCCCAGGCUGGAGUGCAGUGGUGCAAUUUCAGCUCACUGCCACCUCCGCCUCCUGGGUUCAAGUGAUUCUCCUGCCUCAGCCUACCGAGUAGCUGGGACUACAGGCACGUGCCACCAUGCCCAGCUAAUUUUGUAUUUUUAGUAGAGAUGGGGUUUCACCAUGUUCGCCAGGAUGGUCUCAAUCUUCUGACCUCAUGAUCUGCCCACCUCGGCCUCCCAAAGUGUUGGGAUUACAGGCAUGAGCCCACCAUACCCGGCCAGUAUUGCAUUUUCUAAUGAACUUCCUCAGCCUGCCACUGCAACAUAGAGUUAAGGGUCUUAUGUUGUCUCAAACUGACUGAUUGCUAGAAAUCAGCCACCCUCAAAGAUUCUCCCACCUCUUUAGGAAUGCUUUCAGGAUCUCUUCUCCUGUGUGUUCCAGAAUGAGUUUUUUUGGCUCUCACUCUUCAGCCUCCUAAUCUUGACCCCUUGCUAUGGCCUCUUGUGUGGUACCCACAUCUUAUACCUGUGAGGGGACUACACUAUACGUAGCUCUGAGAGUAGUCCUCAUGGGUAACGACGUUUACCCUCCCACUACCCUUGGAAAGAGACAUUGCUCUUUGAUACCGACGGGGCUCUCCUACUGCUAGGAGAAGUAGUUAUUACUCUUUUAGUCUUGGGUCUCCUGCUUGCUAGCUGCUGUGUCUGUGUUUCCACAAAGACUGCGUCAUGGUCAACUCACCAGAUGUCCCUAGUUAAUCCCUACUGGUCCCUCCUGUGCUGCCAUCAUGAAUCGAGCUUUCUUUGAAUGGGUCUUCUCUCAUUGUAAUCUCUGUUUCAAUCUGAGAGAGCUAUUAAUAUAUACCCUCGGCUGACAGAAGAAAUGAACUCCCUGUGUCUAAAGCAAGGCACACCAGAAAUGAAAUCAAGUGACUGUUGUAGAGAGGGGUUGGUCACAAACCCCUGUAUUCCUAACUGUCAUAAGGUCUUGUUUCCUAUUAAUUGAGCAGAAACUAGCCCUUGCCCACAUGCCCUAUAGUUCACCUUUUGAUUGUGAAGAGCCCAAUCCUACCUCAUUUUAAUGUUAAAACUUCACCAUAAGAUGAACAGAGAAUGCAUGCUACUUACUCUCCCACUGCACAUACAUUUAGGGUUUCCCUCAUAAAUAUUCAUAGAUUUCCCCCAAACCUGCUAAAUAUGCAUGUAAGGCAGACCCUGAAAAACACAAAUACCAGAUUUCCCUUUCCCCUCUUUGGAGUCUGUGUUUUCAUCUUCCCUGGAGGCUACGUUCUUUGAUCUACAGAUCUGGUCUCAAAGUUUUCUUCUUUCCUUUCUCCAUAGAUCUCAUGGUCCUUUGUUAACAAGGUGGUCUUCUUAGUCAACCUCAAGUGUUUCUAUUUCUUCUUCUUUGCUUUCAGAAGUCUCUACUGCAUGCAGCCUCAACUCCAGAUUGACUUUAUUUAUGGAAUGCUUCUUUUAAUAUUAAUUGGUAUAACAAUUCACUCAUUAAAUAUUAAAUGCUUCCUGAAAAUAUGGAAACACUAGCAGGUAUAAAACACUGAGUUAUUUCAUAUGAAGUGAAAAAGAUGCUCGACAGCAAAUUUCAGCUUUCAUUUUAAGAAUAAAGAGUAAAUCAGGAUCUGAACAGAACUAACGCCAACCUGAAAGUCUACCUUGAUUUUGGUCCAGCUGCCUCUGUUAGCUGGUUAAUAAAAGUCUGUAAAUUUCUCUUAAAGUUUACGUUUCUAACAAAUUUAUCUCUAGAUGAAUCUUGUGAAAUUUAUAAUAUUCUGAAUAUUUGUUUCAAUUUAACAGUAUUUGGAAGAGUUCAUGACCUCUGAUUCUCCACAAAAGGAUUCUGCAUCCUGCAUCUUAGUUAUUUGAUACAAUUGUUCAGCCUAGCUUUGCAGGGAAGAGAAAAAUGUGUCUCUUGGGCCUCAUAACAGAUGGUAGGCCACAUGAGAAGGC